This 108-nucleotide small RNA is filed under the name Escherichia coli. RNAcentral's name for it is "partial RtT sRNA". It matches the Rfam family "RtT RNA", at positions 1 to 104 of the family's 130-position model. From Rfam's summary of the family: This family represents a bacterial cis-regulatory element known as RtT RNA. The exact function of RtT is unknown although it is thought that it may be involved in changing the cellular response in relation to amino acid starvation. Lineage: Bacteria; Pseudomonadati; Pseudomonadota; Gammaproteobacteria; Enterobacterales; Enterobacteriaceae. The record is from RNAcentral.
UGCAUCUGCAGCUCAUGAGGAUGAGAACCUCCGGGGGCAGGGAGGUUCGACUCGAGCGAAGCGAGAGAACGUUGCGCCAGCAACGGCCCGCAGGGCGAGCCACGAAGU